This 757-nucleotide ribosomal RNA is filed under the name Chalcorana rufipes. RNAcentral describes it as "Hylarana rufipes partial 16S ribosomal RNA". It matches the Rfam family "Bacterial large subunit ribosomal RNA", at positions 1491 to 2565 of the family's 2925-position model. The record is from RNAcentral. Lineage: Eukaryota; Metazoa; Chordata; Amphibia; Anura; Ranidae.
CUUUAUAUUAUUAUAAAAGCCACUAUGCUAGGACCAGUAACAAGAACUUACUUUUCUCCUUAAUAUAAAUAUAAGCCAAAACGGAUAACCCAUUGGUAAUUAACGUUUAUGAACCCCUUAUAACAACUCUAACUAGAAAACCUUAUAUCUACAAACGUUAACCUUACACUAGAAUAUUAAAGGAAAGAUUAAAAGAAAGAGAAGGAACUCGGCAAAUUUUAACCCCGCCUGUUUACCAAAAACAUCGCCUCUUGAUAAACAUAAGAGGUCCAGCCUGCCCAGUGACAAUGUUCAACGGCCGCGGUACCCUAACCGUGCAAAGGUAGCAUAAUCACUUGUUCUUUAAAUGAGGACUUGUAUCAACGGCACCACGAGGGUUGCACUGUCUCCUCUUUCCAAUCAGUGAAACUGAUCUCCCCGUGAAGAAGCUGGGAUUUUAGUAUAAGACGAGAAGACCCCAUGGAGCUUUAAAUUAUGUGCCUAUUUUGUAACAACACCAAGAAACUAAAAAGUUUAGGCACCCUUUUAGGUUGGGGCGACCACGGAGUACAACUAAACCUCCACAACAAACAGGCCACACCUUUACCCACGAGCUACACCUCUAAGAAUUAACAUAUUAAUGUUUAUGACCCGAUAUUCGAUCAAUGAACCAAGUUACCCUGGGGAUAACAGCGCAAUCCAUUUCAAGAGUUCUUAUCGACAAAUGGGUUUACGACCUCGAUGUUGGAUCAGGGUACCCCAGUGGUGCAGCCGCUAC